RNAcentral lists this non-coding RNA (103 nucleotides) under uncultured Acidaminococcus sp. Its description in RNAcentral is "SAM riboswitch (S box leader)". It matches the Rfam family "SAM riboswitch aptamer (S box leader)". Rfam says of the family: The SAM riboswitch is found upstream of a number of genes which code for proteins involved in methionine or cysteine biosynthesis in Gram-positive bacteria. The SAM riboswitch acts at the level of transcription termination control. The record is from RNAcentral. Lineage: Bacteria; Bacillati; Bacillota; Negativicutes; Acidaminococcales; Acidaminococcaceae.
CUCAUCGAGAGUGGCGGAGGGAACUGGCCCUGUGAAGCCACAGCAACCAUGGCUCAGGCCAACGGUGCUAAUUCCUGCAAUGUGCGACCAUUGUGAGAUGAGG